GGGCCCGUAGCUCAGCCAGGGAGAGCACCGGGCUUUUAACCCGGGUGUCCUGGGUUCAAAUCCCGGCGGGCUCG
Molecule: transfer RNA, 74 nt
Filed under: Nitrososphaerales archaeon
Lineage: Archaea; Thermoproteati; Nitrososphaerota; Nitrososphaeria; Nitrososphaerales
Description: tRNA-Lys
Rfam family: tRNA
About the family: Transfer RNA (tRNA) molecules are approximately 80 nucleotides in length. Their secondary structure includes four short double-helical elements and three loops (D, anti-codon, and T loops).
Source: RNAcentral